GCCUUAGUAGCUCAGUGGUAGAGCGUUUGCCUAGUAUGGCAGCAAAAGGUCCAGUGUUCGACUCACUGUUGAGGCA
This is a transfer RNA of Melampsora larici-populina 98AG31, 76 nucleotides long. It matches the Rfam family "tRNA". From Rfam's summary of the family: Transfer RNA (tRNA) molecules are approximately 80 nucleotides in length. Lineage: Eukaryota; Fungi; Basidiomycota; Pucciniomycetes; Pucciniales; Melampsoraceae. The record is from Rfam.